Molecule: ribosomal RNA, 399 nt
Filed under: Bacillus cereus
Lineage: Bacteria; Bacillati; Bacillota; Bacilli; Caryophanales; Bacillaceae
Description: bacterial SSU rRNA
Rfam family: Bacterial small subunit ribosomal RNA
Source: RNAcentral
GAGGCAGCAGUAGGGAAUCUUCCGCAAUGGACGAAAGUCUGACGGAGCAACGCCGCGUGAGUGAUGAAGGCUUUCGGGUCGUAAAACUCUGUUGUUAGGGAAGAACAAGUGCUAGUUGAAUAAGCUGGCACCUUGACGGUACCUAACCAGAAAGCCACGGCUAACUACGUGCCAGCAGCCGCGGUAAUACGUAGGUGGCAAGCGUUAUCCGGAAUUAUUGGGCGUAAAGCGCGCGCAGGUGGUUUCUUAAGUCUGAUGUGAAAGCCCACGGCUCAACCGUGGAGGGUCAUUGGAAACUGGGAGACUUGAGUGCAGAAGAGGAAAGUGGAAUUCCAUGUGUAGCGGUGAAAUGCGUAGAGAUAUGGAGGAACACCAGUGGCGAAGGCGACUUUCUGGUCU